AGCUGGUCCGAAGGUAGGGAGUUAUCCCACUCGAUUGUUCACAGUCAGCUACAGAUUGAACUCCUUGUUCUACUACUUUUCCCCUUCUCACUACUGCACUUGAAUAGUCUUAA
Molecule: Y RNA, 113 nt
Filed under: Propithecus coquereli (Coquerel's sifaka)
Lineage: Eukaryota; Metazoa; Chordata; Mammalia; Primates; Indriidae
Description: Y RNA (ENSPCOG00000009531.1)
Rfam family: Y RNA
About the family: Y RNAs are components of the Ro ribonucleoprotein particle (Ro RNP), in association with Ro60 and La proteins. The Y RNAs and Ro60 and La proteins are well conserved, but the function of the Ro RNP is not known. In humans the RNA component can be one of four small RNAs -- hY1, hY3, hY4 and hY5.
Source: Rfam by way of RNAcentral